This 429-nucleotide ribosomal RNA is filed under the name uncultured bacterium. RNAcentral describes it as "bacterial SSU rRNA". It matches the Rfam family "Bacterial small subunit ribosomal RNA", at positions 355 to 776 of the family's 1533-position model. RNAcentral also lists the same sequence under 2 other names. The record is from RNAcentral.
UGGGGAAUAUUGGACAAUGGGCGAAAGCCUGAUCCAGCCAUGCCGCGUGUGUGAAGAAGGUCUUCGGAUUGUAAAGCACUUUAAGUUGGGAGGAAGGGUUGUAGAUUAAUACUCUGCAAUUUUGACGUUACCGACAGAAUAAGCACCGGCUAACUCUGUGCCAGCAGCCGCGGUAAUACAGAGGGUGCAAGCGUUAAUCGGAAUUACUGGGCGUAAAGCGCGCGUAGGUGGUUUGUUAAGUUGGAUGUGAAAGCCCCGGGCUCAACCUGGGAACUGCAUCCAAAACUGGCAAGCUAGAGUACGGUAGAGGGUGGUGGAAUUUCCUGUGUAGCGGUGAAAUGCGUAGAUAUAGGAAGGAACACCAGUGGCGAAGGCGACCACCUGGACUGAUACUGACACUGAGGUGCGAAAGCGUGGGGAGCAAACAGG